AGCCUUUUUUACUUCAGCAAUCAAACCAGGUAAAUUAGUUCUAAGGUAGGCAGCCUUGAGAGCUCCAAGGAAAUCUCUAGCAGGAGGGGCCCUCUCAAGGUCCCUUUUCAACGAGAUGAGAGGCCUUCUUUCUUUCAUCUGUGAAACUUCCUUGUCUUUGUACCAUAUGAUCUCCUCCAAAAUAUUCCUAGGAGUGUUCCCUUCAUUCUGUAAUCUGAACUGAAAGGGUCCAACAUAAUGCAAUGGCGGUCCCGUGGGCGGCCUGCGACGAAUCCUUAUGCCUUGACUUGCAGCUACUUCAUCUUGGAACAUCCCCACUU
RNAcentral lists this unclassified non-coding RNA (320 nucleotides) under Hevea brasiliensis (rubber tree). The record is from RNAcentral. Lineage: Eukaryota; Viridiplantae; Streptophyta; Magnoliopsida; Malpighiales; Euphorbiaceae.